UGGGGAAUAUUGGACAAUGGGCGAAAGCCUGAUCCAGCCAUGCCGCGUGUGUGAAGAAGGCCUUAUGGUUGUAAAGCACUUUAAGCGAGGAGGAGGGUACUGGUAUUAAUACUACCAGGUACUGGACGUUACUCGCAGAAUAAGCACCGGCUAACUCUGUGCCAGCAGCCGCGGUAAUACAGAGGGUGCAAGCGUUAAUCGGAAUUACUGGGCGUAAAGCGCGCGUAGGUGGUUCGUUAAGUUGAAUGUGAAAGCCCCGGGCUCAACCUGGGAACUGCAUCCAAAACUGGCGAGCUAGAGUAGGGCAGAGGGUGGUGGAAUUUCCUGUGUAGCGGUGAAAUGCGUAGAGAUAGGAAGGAACACCAGUGGCGAAGGCGACCACCUGGGCUCAUACUGACACUGAGGUGCGAAAGCGUGGGGAGCAAACAGG
Molecule: ribosomal RNA, 430 nt
Filed under: Pseudomonadota bacterium
Lineage: Bacteria; Pseudomonadati; Pseudomonadota
Description: Proteobacteria bacterium partial 16S ribosomal RNA
Rfam family: Bacterial small subunit ribosomal RNA
Source: RNAcentral